Non-coding RNA from Macaca mulatta (Rhesus monkey), 1262 nucleotides. The record is from RefSeq and is a predicted model, not a curated record. Lineage: Eukaryota; Metazoa; Chordata; Mammalia; Primates; Cercopithecidae.
GGCUUACAUAAGAACAGAAGUGGAGACAGAAGGAAGAGGACCCAAGAGGAAGAAGUGAGAAAUUCAAGGGGGAAACAGAAGACAGGAAUAAGGGGAGGCCAAGUCUUUGGGGACCCGCCUCUACCUGUGUGCUCAGGUGGGCUAUGUCUGGGAAACGGCACAGCAGGUGUCCUACAGACAAAAUCCAGGAAAGCCCUCCAUGUGACACAUUCUAGGCUGGCCAGACACCACAUGUCUCCACCCUAAGCUUCUCUCCUAUUCUGCCUUUCGCUCUGCUCUGCGCAUGGCGGGCCCCUCCUAACCCACCAUCCUGACACGUCCUCAGCCACCUGGAGACACCCAGGAGCCAGGUGAGCAGGCUGCCCAGCAAAGCCCCCCGGCUGGAAGACAGGCAUCAAGGGCCAGACACGCCAUCUGCCACCAGUGCCCACACCGAGUCUUGGAAGGCCGCUUCGUCUAUCGCACAAGGGACCCUGGACCCCUACCGGACCACCUUUCUUCUCUGCUGCCCUUCGGGCUCUGGGAGCAGGACACACAGGGGCCCUUCCCACACCUGGCUCUGGCCCGGCCCUCCCCGCACCGGGUCAGGCUGCAGUUCAGUAAGAGCCCGACAGUGGGCAGGCCUCAGCCUGGGCCCAGCUGCCAUGACAACUGGGGACCAACCACACAAAGAGGGGAUUGAGCUAGCAGCAGGUGGAGAGGCCCGGGGCAGGGGCAGGCAACAAAGGAGCUUUGGUUGUGGCAGAGACUUGGGGGUGGGGAGGCCAGACAGCAGCUGGGGGAGGAGAAAGGCCACAGGCCAGAAAGAGGCAAGGUCGUCCCCAUCGCCGCCCCUGGAACCUCCCACCAGCCCAGCACAGCUCUCACAGCCUCAGCGCCCCAGGUCGGGCAGUCAGAAGCAGACCAUGCCGCAGAUGAACAUGGGAACAGUUGGCUGUGAAGCCUUGGACUGUCGUCGGCCUCCAGCCCCUGGGGCUCUGACCACACCCAGCCCCAGUUCAGAUCAUCUUGCUCAAAAGGCUGAAGGAGGCCCCAUCUCCACACCUUCCACAUGUAGAUAGAUAUCCUCAACGUUCUUCACAGAGGGGAUGCCCGCACCCACCCCACCGAAUUCGCGGCUGCUGUGCCCAUCUUCCUGGGGAGGAGUUCUCCGCCACACCCGACACCACACCCUUCCAACUUCUGCGGUGCUUCCCUCUCACUUAUCUCCACCCCCAAUCCUUAUCCCCGCUCGUUUAAUCACACAUUUAUUGAGCACCUAC